This 443-nucleotide ribosomal RNA is filed under the name uncultured bacterium. Its description in RNAcentral is "partial 16S ribosomal RNA". It matches the Rfam family "Bacterial small subunit ribosomal RNA", at positions 338 to 795 of the family's 1533-position model. The record is from RNAcentral.
CCUACGUGUGGCAGCAGUGGGGAAUAUUGGGCAAUGGGCGCAAGCCUGACCCAGCAACGCCGCGUGAAGGAAGAAGGCUUUCGGGUUGUUAACUUCUUUUCUUACGGACGUAGAAAGUGACGCUAACUCAUGAAUAAGCCACUGCUAACUACGUGCCAGCAGCCGCGGUAAUACGUAGGUGGCAAGCGUUAUCCGGAUUUAUUGGGUGUAAAGGGUGUGUAGGCGGUAAAGCAAGUCAGAUGGUAAACCUCAGGGCUCAACCCUGGGCCUGCAUUUGACACUGUUUUUCUUGAGUGAUGGUGCGGUAGUCGGAAUUUCGUGUGUAGCGGUGAAAUGCGUAGAGAUAAGGAGGAACACCAGUGGCGAAGGCAGAUUACUGGGCAGCAACUGACGCUGAGGCGCGAAAGCGUGGGGAGCAAACAGGAUUAGAUACCCGAGUAGUC